UACAGAGGUCUCAAGCGUUGUUCGGAUUCAUUGGGCGUAAAGGGUGCGUAGGUGGCGCGAUAAGUCGGGCGUGAAAUCUCGGAGCUUAACUCCGAAAUUGCAUUCGAUACUGCCGUGCUCGAGGACUGGAGAGGAGACUGGAAUUCAUGGUGUAGCAGUGAAAUGCGUAGAGAUCAUGAGGAAGACCAGUGGCGAAGGCGGGUCUCUGGACAGUUCCUGACACUGAGGCACGAAGGCCAGGGGAGCAAACGGG
Molecule: ribosomal RNA, 253 nt
Filed under: uncultured bacterium
Lineage: Bacteria
Description: partial 16S ribosomal RNA
Rfam family: Bacterial small subunit ribosomal RNA
Source: RNAcentral